GACGAACGCUGGCGGCGUGCUUAACACAUGCAAGUCGAACGGAAAGGCCCUGCUUGCAGGGUACUCGAGUGGCGAACGGGUGAGUAACACGUGGGUGAUCUGCCCUGCACUUCGGGAUAAGCCUGGGAAACUGGGUCUAAUACCGGAUAGGAGCCAUUUUUAGUGUGAUGGUUGGAAAGUUUUUUCGGUGUAGGAUGAGCUCGCGGCCUAUCAGCUUGUUGGUGGGGUAAUGGCCUACCAAGGCGGCGACGGGUAGCCGGCCUGAGAGGGUGGACGGCCACAUUGGGACUGAGAUACGGCCCAGACUACUACGGGAGGCAGCAGUGGGGAAUAUUGCACAAUGGGCGCAAGCCUGAUGCAGCGACGCCGCGUGGGGGAUGACGGCCUUCGGGUUGUAAACUCCUUUCGCUAGGGACGAAGCUUUUUGUGACGGUACCUAGAUAAGAAGCACCGGCUAACUACGUG
Molecule: ribosomal RNA, 465 nt
Filed under: uncultured bacterium
Lineage: Bacteria
Description: partial 16S ribosomal RNA
Rfam family: Bacterial small subunit ribosomal RNA
Source: RNAcentral